Molecule: ribosomal RNA, 947 nt
Filed under: uncultured bacterium
Lineage: Bacteria
Description: bacterial SSU rRNA
Rfam family: Bacterial small subunit ribosomal RNA
Source: RNAcentral
CCUACGGGAGGCAGCAGUGGGGAAUAUUGCACAAUGGGCGAAAGCCUGAUGCAGCGACGCCGCGUGAGGGAUGAAGGCCUUCGGGUUGUAAACCUCAUUCAGCAGGGAAGAAGCGCAAGUGACGGUACCUGCAGAAGAAGCACCGGCUAACUCCGUGCCAGCAGCCGCGGUAAUACGGAGGGUGCGAGCGUUGUUCGGAAUUAUUGGGCGUAAAGCGCACGUAGGCGGUUGGGUAAGUCUCAUGGUGAAAGGCCGGGGCUCAACUCCGUGCUGGCCAGGGAUACUGCCCGACUGGAGACAGGGAGAGGCCAGUGGAAUUCCGGGUGUAGCGGUGGAAUGCGUAGAGAUCCGGAAGAACACCGGAGGCGAAGGCGGCUGGCUGGCCCUGAUCUGACGCUGAGGUGCGAAAGCGUGGGGAGCGUACAGGAUUAGAUACCCUGGUAGUCCACGCCGUAAACGUUGGGCGCUAGGUGUGGGGCUCAUUCCACGAGUUCCGUGCCGCAGCUAACGCAUUAAGCGCCCCGCCUGGGGAGUACGGCCGCAAGGCUAAAACUCAAAGGAAUUGACGGGGGCCCGCACAAGCGGCGGAGCAUGUUGCUUAAUUCGAUGCAACGCGAAGGACCUUACCUAGGCUUGACAUGCACGGAAAUCCUCCAGAGAUGGGGGGUCCGUAAAGGGCCGUGCACAGGUGGUGCAUGGUUGUCGUCAGCUCGUGUCGUGAAAUGUUGGGGUUAAGUCCCGCAACGAGCGCAACCCUCGUCCUAUGUUGCCAGCACGCCAUGGUGGGGACUCAUAGGAGACUGCCGGGGUCAACUCGGAGGAAAGGGUGGGGAUGACGUCAAAUCAUCAUGCCCCUUAUGUCUAGGGCUGCAAACAUGCUACAAUGGCCGGUACAAAGGGCUGCGAUACCGCAAGGUGGAGCGAAUCCCAAAAGCCGUCUCCAGUUC